Molecule: ribosomal RNA, 253 nt
Filed under: uncultured bacterium
Lineage: Bacteria
Description: partial 16S ribosomal RNA
Rfam family: Bacterial small subunit ribosomal RNA
Source: RNAcentral
UACGUAGGUGGCAAGCGUUGUCCGGAUUUAUUGGGUUUAAAGGGUGCGUAGGCGGUUCUGUAAGUCUGUGGUGAAAUACUCCAGCUUAACUGGAGGGGUGCCAAUGAUACUGCAGAACUUGAGUACAGAUGAGGUAGGCGGAAUUGACGGUGUAGCGGUGAAAUGCAUAGAUAUCGUCAAGAACACCUAUAGCGAAGGCAGCUUACUGGGCUGUAACUGACGCUGAGGCACGAAAGUGUGGGGAUCAAACAGG